RNAcentral lists this long non-coding RNA (203 nucleotides) under Carica papaya (papaya). RNAcentral describes it as "long non-coding RNA (CPAP_LNC015971)". The record is from RNAcentral. Lineage: Eukaryota; Viridiplantae; Streptophyta; Magnoliopsida; Brassicales; Caricaceae.
UUUUAUUUUUAUAUCCACCUUUAUUUAUGUGUCAGUGAUAUACUGUGAUAUCUUUACUGAACUAGUGUAACUCAUUUCUUAUUUAACUAUUUCAAAUCAAGAUGACCAGGUUCCAGAGUCUGAUCCGCAAGAAGAUUGCGAGUAGAUAUUAGAUAUUUUUUCGUUUUCCGUUUAUUUCCUUAUUUCUUAUAUUUCUUUCAAAU